AAGGGCGUGGUUUAAAUGGUGCUGGGAAGCCAGGGGGAAGUUGAAAUCAGAGGCAUCCAGGGAUAACAGGAACUCAGAACCGGGGCAUCACAGGUGGACGGCUGACCCACCUUUCCCAGGAGCUCUACAAGUAAAAUGACCCUUCCUUAAUCUCUAGCUGCUUGCCUUUUUCCUCUCCUUCACUGGCCGUUUCUCCUUCCAUUUCCCAACAUGAUCAUUAUUGAAAUUCAGCCCUUGGUCUCGUUUGUUCUUGUUCGGCUUUCUAGAUUAGUUACCUCCUUCUGUUAGAUGUACAGUGCAACACAAAAAUCGGCGCCGAACUGGUUCUUCAGUUUCAGUCCAUGUUUACCUCAACCUUUCCUAUCAUCUGAACCUGCCUCAGAUUUGCUAGGACUUGGCUUUCACUUAAAGCCAAACCACAAUUAACAAACACUAGCCUAACAAAAGAAUAGGGGGCAUUAUGGUUUGCAUAUGAAUGUUUUUAUGUACUUAAAUGGGAUUUAAUUUACACAGUAUAAAUAUGCUGAUAUUUCCAGGAACUUUUAGGGUGAUUUUUAUUUGGAGCAGAGCCCAAAAUUAAAGACAUUCUCAUAUUUAUCAGCGCAAUAAGAACUGUUAUGUAGUAUUCGGUAUAUGAAUUUGGAGGAAGAACUGCUUCACAGCAACUUGCCCUCUUGUAAAUGAGCAUCUAAUUAAAAGUUCGGAAUGGUUGGAUGACAUUUGUAUUCAAUCAAUAGCAAUUUCUGACUAAUUUGGUAAAGAAACAGAGUUGGUCUAAAUUGUUUAUUUUUAUUAAUAUAUAAUUCACAUACCAAAAAAUUCAUCCCUUUAAAGUGGACAAUAAAGUGAUUUUUAAUAUGUUUACAAAGUUGCACAAUUACCACUACUCUCUAAUUCUAAGACUUUUUUUUCAACCCCCAAAAGAAACCCUAUAUACACAUAGAGUAUUCUUCCUUCUUCCACCCCCUGGCAACCACUAACUUACCUUCUAUCUCUGAGGACUUGCUUGUUCUGGACAUUUUAUAUAAAUGGAAUCAUACAAUAUGUGGCUUUUUGUGUCUGACUUAUUUUACUUAGUGUUUGCAGGGUUUGUCCAUGUUGUAGCAUGUUUCAUUUCUUCAUUACUUUUUAUGGCCAAAUAAUAUUCCAUUAUAUGGAUAUAUAACAUUUUGUUUAUAUGUUCAUUAGUUGAUGGACAUUGGGUUCUUUCAACUUUUUGGCUAUUAUGAACAAUGCUUCUAUGAACAUUCUUGUAGAAGUUUUUGUGUGGAUGUAUUUUCUUAAUUCUCUUGGGUAUAAACCCAGUAGUGGAAUUGCUGGGUCAUAGGGUAAUUCUGUGUUUAACUUUGUGCAAAACUAUAAAAACUAUUUUUCAAAGAAGUUGCACCAUUUUACAUUUCCAUUAGCAGUGUAUGAGAGUUCCAACUUCUCUACAUUCUCACCAACAUUUGUUAUUAAUCUGUCUUUGUUAUCAUAGCCAUUCUAGUGAGUAUAAAUGGUUUCUCAUUGUGGUUUUGAUUUGCAUUACCCUGGUGAUUAAAGAUAUUGAGCAUCUUUUCACGUGCUUUUUUUGUUUUUUUGUUUUUGUUUUUUUUAGGGCUGCACCUGCAGCGUAUGGAGGUUCCCAGGCUAGGGGUCAAAUCAGAGCUAUAGCUGCUGCCCUAUACCACAGCCACAGCAACAUGGGAUCCGAGUAGCAUCUGCAACCUACACCACAGCUCACAGCAAUACUGGAUCCUUAGCCCACUAAGCCAGGCCAGGGAUCAAACGUGCAUCCUCAUGAAUACUAUUCAGAUUUGUUUCUGCUGAGCCAUGAUGGGAACUCCAAUUUUUUUUUUUAGAAUACUUUUUUAGUAGUUCCCGUCUUGGUGCAGCAGACACGAAUCCAACUAGGAACCAUGAGAUUGUGGGUUCCAUCCCUGGCCUUGCUCAGUGGGUUAAGGAUCCGGCAUUGCUGUGAGCUGUGAUGUAGGUGGAAGACCCGCUUGGAUCUGCCGUUGCUGUGGCUGUGGUGUAGGCUGGCAACUGUAGCUCUGAUUAGACCUCUAGCCUGGGAACCUCCAUAUGCUGUGGGUGCGGCCCUAAAAGGCGAACAAACCAACCAACCAAACAAAAAAAGAAUACUUUUUUAAAUGUUUGAUGGAAUUCACCAGUGACUCCUGGGCUCUUGCCAUAUAUCUUUUGCUGAGGCCUUCAAAGCAACCUUUGCCCAACGUCUAUCCAUCGCUUUUCCAUUCUUCUUUGCUUUUCCUUCUGACUUAGGUAGGUCAAGUUUGUGUCUCUCCCCAUCCAUGAGUGUAAAAUUUAAUGCCUCACUAAACUUGCCUCCUUCUUUGCCUGUUGUGUAUGCCUUGCAGCAAAAAAAAAAAAAAAAAAAAAAAAAAAAAAAAAAAAA
Molecule: long non-coding RNA, 2395 nt
Filed under: Sus scrofa (pig)
Lineage: Eukaryota; Metazoa; Chordata; Mammalia; Artiodactyla; Suidae
Description: lncRNA (ENSSSCG00060065494.1)
Source: RNAcentral